AAUCAACGCUGGCGGCGUGCCUCAGACAUGCAAGUCGAACGCGAAAGUUCCCUUCGGGGGAUGAGUAGAGUGGCGCACGGGUGAGUAACACGUAGGUAAUCUACCUUUGGAUGGGGAAUAACAACCGGAAACGGUUGCUAAUACCGCAUAAUGCAGCGGCACCUAAUGGUGACAGUUGUUAAAGCGGGGGAUCGAAAGACCUCGCGUCUGAAGAGGAGCCUGCGGCGGAUAGCUAGUUGGUAAGGUAACGGCUUACCAAGGCGACGAUCCGUAGCCGGCCUGAGAGGGCGGUCGGCCACACUGACACUGACAUACGGGUCAGACUCCUACGGGAGGCAGCAGUCGGGAAUUUUGGGCAAUGGGCGAAAGCCUGACCCAGCAACGCCGCGUGAAGGAUGAAAUCCCUCGGGAU
Molecule: ribosomal RNA, 412 nt
Filed under: uncultured bacterium
Lineage: Bacteria
Description: bacterial SSU rRNA
Rfam family: Bacterial small subunit ribosomal RNA
Source: RNAcentral